This 473-nucleotide ribosomal RNA is filed under the name Escherichia coli. Its description in RNAcentral is "bacterial SSU rRNA". It matches the Rfam family "Bacterial small subunit ribosomal RNA", at positions 1 to 470 of the family's 1533-position model. Lineage: Bacteria; Pseudomonadati; Pseudomonadota; Gammaproteobacteria; Enterobacterales; Enterobacteriaceae. RNAcentral also lists the same sequence under 1 other name. The record is from RNAcentral.
AAAUUGAAGAGUUUGAUCAUGGCUCAGAUUGAACGCUGGCGGCAGGCCUAACACAUGCAAGUCGAACGGUAACAGGAAGCAGCUUGCUGUUUCGCUGACGAGUGGCGGACGGGUGAGUAAUGUCUGGGAAACAGCCUGAUGGAGGGGGAUAACUACUGGAAACGGUAGCUAAUACCGCAUAACGUCGCAAGACCAAAGAGGGGGACCUUCGGGCCUCUUGCCAUCGGAUGUGCCCAGAUGGGAUUAGCUAGUAGGUGGGGUAACGGCUCACCUAGGCGACGAUCCCUAGCUGGUCUGAGAGGAUGACCAGCCACACUGGAACUGAGACACGGUCCAGACUCCUACGGGAGGCAGCAGUGGGGAAUAUUGCACAAUGGGCGCAAGCCUGAUGCAGCCAUGCCGCGUGUAUGAAGAAGGCCUUCGGGUUGUAAAGUACUUUCAGCGGGGAGGAAGGGAGUAAAGUUAAUACCUUU